This 2540-nucleotide ribosomal RNA is filed under the name Escherichia coli. RNAcentral describes it as "partial 23S ribosomal RNA". It matches the Rfam family "Bacterial large subunit ribosomal RNA", at positions 417 to 2925 of the family's 2925-position model. Lineage: Bacteria; Pseudomonadati; Pseudomonadota; Gammaproteobacteria; Enterobacterales; Enterobacteriaceae. The record is from RNAcentral.
GCGGGACACGUGGUAUCCUGUCUGAAUAUGGGGGGACCAUCCUCCAAGGCUAAAUACUCCUGACUGACCGAUAGUGAACCAGUACCGUGAGGGAAAGGCGAAAAGAACCCCGGCGAGGGGAGUGAAAAAGAACCUGAAACCGUGUACGUACAAGCAGUGGGAGCCUCUUAAUGGGGUGACUGCGUACCUUUUGUAUAAUGGGUCAGCGACUUAUAUUCUGUAGCAAGGUUAACCGAAUAGGGGAGCCGAAGGGAAACCGAGUCUUAACUGGGCGUUAAGUUGCAGGGUAUAGACCCGAAACCCGGUGAUCUAGCCAUGGGCAGGUUGAAGGUUGGGUAACACUAACUGGAGGACCGAACCGACUAAUGUUGAAAAAUUAGCGGAUGACUUGUGGCUGGGGGUGAAAGGCCAAUCAAACCGGGAGAUAGCUGGUUCUCCCCGAAAGCUAUUUAGGUAGCGCCUCGUGAAUUCAUCUCCGGGGGUAGAGCACUGUUUCGGCAAGGGGGUCAUCCCGACUUACCAACCCGAUGCAAACUGCGAAUACCGGAGAAUGUUAUCACGGGAGACACACGGCGGGUGCUAACGUCCGUCGUGAAGAGGGAAACAACCCAGACCGCCAGCUAAGGUCCCAAAGUCAUGGUUAAGUGGGAAACGAUGUGGGAAGGCCCAGACAGCCAGGAUGUUGGCUUAGAAGCAGCCAUCAUUUAAAGAAAGCGUAAUAGCUCACUGGUCGAGUCGGCCUGCGCGGAAGAUGUAACGGGGCUAAACCAUGCACCGAAGCUGCGGCAGCGACACUAUGUGUUGUUGGGUAGGGGAGCGUUCUGUAAGCCUGUGAAGGUGGCCUGUGAGGGUUGCUGGAGGUAUCAGAAGUGCGAAUGCUGACAUAAGUAACGAUAAAGCGGGUGAAAAGCCCGCUCGCCGGAAGACCAAGGGUUCCUGUCCAACGUUAAUCGGGGCAGGGUGAGUCGACCCCUAAGGCGAGGCCGAAAGGCGUAGUCGAUGGGAAACAGGUUAAUAUUCCUGUACUUGGUGUUACUGCGAAGGGGGGACGGAGAAGGCUAUGUUGGCCGGGCGACGGUUGUCCCGGUUUAAGCGUGUAGGCUGGUUUUCCAGGCAAAUCCGGAAAACCAAGGCUGAGGCGUGAUGACGAGGCACUACGGUGCUGAAGCGACAAAUGCCCUGCUUCCAGGAAAAGCCUCUAAGCAUCAGGUAACAUCAAAUCGUACCCCAAACCGACACAGGUGGUCAGGUAGAGAAUACCAAGGCGCUUGAGAGAACUCGGGUGAAGGAACUAGGCAAAAUGGUGCCGUAACUUCGGGAGAAGGCACGCUGAUAUGUAGGUGAAGCGACUUGCUCGUGGAGCUGAAAUCAGUCGAAGAUACCAGCUGGCUGCAACUGUUUAUUAAAAACACAGCACUGUGCAAACACGAAAGUGGACGUAUACGGUGUGACGCCUGCCCGGUGCCGGAAGGUUAAUUGAUGGGGUUAGCGGUAACGCGAAGCUCUUGAUCGAAGCCCCGGUAAACGGCGGCCGUAACUAUAACGGUCCUAAGGUAGCGAAAUUCCUUGUCGGGUAAGUUCCGACCUGCACGAAUGGCGUAAUGAUGGCCAGGCUGUCUCCACCCGAGACUCAGUGAAAUUGAACUCGCUGUGAAGAUGCAGUGUACCCGCGGCAAGACGGAAAGACCCCGUGAACCUUUACUAUAGCUUGACACUGAACAUUGAGCCUUGAUGUGUAGGAUAGGUGGGAGGCUUUGAAGUGUGGACGCCAGUCUGCAUGGAGCCGACCUUGAAAUACCACCCUUUAAUGUUUGAUGUUCUAACGUUGGCCCGUAAUCCGGGUUGCGGACAGUGUCUGGUGGGUAGUUUGACUGGGGCGGUCUCCUCCUAAAGAGUAACGGAGGAGCACGAAGGUUGGCUAAUCCUGGUCGGACAUCAGGAGGUUAGUGCAAUGGCAUAAGCCAGCUUGACUGCGAGCGUGACGGCGCGAGCAGGUGCGAAAGCAGGUCAUAGUGAUCCGGUGGUUCUGAAUGGAAGGGCCAUCGCUCAACGGAUAAAAGGUACUCCGGGGAUAACAGGCUGAUACCGCCCAAGAGUUCAUAUCGACGGCGGUGUUUGGCACCUCGAUGUCGGCUCAUCACAUCCUGGGGCUGAAGUAGGUCCCAAGGGUAUGGCUGUUCGCCAUUUAAAGUGGUACGCGAGCUGGGUUUAGAACGUCGUGAGACAGUUCGGUCCCUAUCUGCCGUGGGCGCUGGAGAACUGAGGGGGGCUGCUCCUAGUACGAGAGGACCGGAGUGGACGCAUCACUGGUGUUCGGGUUGUCAUGCCAAUGGCACUGCCCGGUAGCUAAAUGCGGAAGAGAUAAGUGCUGAAAGCAUCUAAGCACGAAACUUGCCCCGAGAUGAGUUCUCCCUGACUCCUUGAGAGUCCUGAAGGAACGUUGAAGACGACGACGUUGAUAGGCCGGGUGUGUAAGCGCAGCGAUGCGUUGAGCUAACCGGUACUAAUGAACCGUGAGGCUUAACCUUACAACGCCGAAG